AUACAGAGGGUGCGAGCGUUAAGCGGAAUUACUGGGCGUAAAGCGCGCGUAGGCGGCUUGGUCAGUCGGAUGUGAAAGCCCCGGGCUCAACCUGGGAAUGGCAUUCGAUACUGCCAGGCUAGAGUAUGGGAGAGGGAAGUGGAAUUUCCGGUGUAGCGGUGAAAUGCGUAGAUAUCGGAAAGAACACCAGUGGCGAAGGCGACUUCCUGGCCCAAUACUGACGCUGAGGUGCGAAAGCGUGGGGAGCGAACAGGAUUAGAAACCCUAGUAGUCC
Molecule: ribosomal RNA, 274 nt
Filed under: uncultured bacterium
Lineage: Bacteria
Description: partial 16S ribosomal RNA
Rfam family: Bacterial small subunit ribosomal RNA
Source: RNAcentral